RNAcentral lists this transfer RNA (59 nucleotides) under Acanthogyrus cheni. RNAcentral describes it as "tRNA-Asn". The record is from RNAcentral. Lineage: Eukaryota; Metazoa; Acanthocephala; Eoacanthocephala; Gyracanthocephala; Quadrigyridae.
GCUAUUACUCAAGUUAUUUAAGGGUUGUUAUUCCUUAUUUCAGGCUUGAUAGAAGGGUG